GACGAACGCUGGCGGCGUGCUUAACACAUGCAAGUCGAGCGGUAAGGCCCUUUCGGGGGUACACGAGCGGCGAACGGGUGAGUAACACGUGGGUGACCUGCCCUCAGCUCUGGGAUAAGCCUGGGAAACUGGGUCUAAUACUGGAUAUGACUCCACGGUGCAUGUCGUGGGGUGGAAAGCCUUGUGCGGCUGAGGAUGGGCCCGCGGCCUAUCAGCUUGUUGGGGGGUGAUGGCCUACCAAGGCGACGACGGGUAGCCGGCCUGAGAGGGCGACCGGCCACACUGGGACUGAGACACGGCCCAGACUCCUACGGGGGCAGCAGUGGGGAAUCUUGCGCAAUGGGCGAAAGCCUGACGCAGCGACGCCGCGUGAGGGAUGACGGCCUGGU
RNAcentral lists this ribosomal RNA (389 nucleotides) under uncultured bacterium. Its description in RNAcentral is "bacterial SSU rRNA". It matches the Rfam family "Bacterial small subunit ribosomal RNA", at positions 28 to 420 of the family's 1533-position model. The record is from RNAcentral.